Ornithorhynchus anatinus (platypus) is the source of this 116-nucleotide non-coding RNA. Lineage: Eukaryota; Metazoa; Chordata; Mammalia; Monotremata; Ornithorhynchidae. The record is from RefSeq and is marked provisional.
GCCCACAGAGCAGCCUUGAGGGGGUUGUAGCAGCACAUCAUGGUUUGUAGGGACAAGGAGAUACAGACCAUUCUGGGCUGCCUCAAUCCCCCAAGGAGAACGCGGGAGAACUGGGC